AUGAACGCUGGCGGCGUGCCUAAUACAUGCCAGUCGAGCGAACAGACGAGGAGCUUGCUCCUCUGACGUUAGCGGCGGACGGGUGAGUAACACGUGGAUAACCUACCUAUAAGACUGGGAUAACUUCGGGAAACCGGAGCUAAUACCGGAUAAUAUAUUGAACCGCCUGGUUCAAUAGUGAAAGACGGUUUUGCUGUCACUUAUAGAUGGAUCCGCGCCGCAUUAGCUAGUUGGUAAGGUAACGGCUUACCAAGGCAACGAUGCGUAGCCGACCUGAGAGGGUGAUCGGCCACACUGGAACUGAGACACGGUCCAGACUCCUACGGGAGGCAGCAGUAGGGAAUCUUCCGCAAUGGGCGAAAGCUUGACGGAGCAACGCCGCGUGAGUGAUGAAGGUCUUCGGAUCGUAAAACUCUGUUAUUAGGGAAGAACAAAUGUGUAAGUAACUAUGCACGUCUUGACGGUACCUAAUCAGAAAGCCACGGCUAACUACGUG
RNAcentral lists this ribosomal RNA (496 nucleotides) under uncultured bacterium. Its description in RNAcentral is "partial 16S ribosomal RNA". It matches the Rfam family "Bacterial small subunit ribosomal RNA", at positions 29 to 507 of the family's 1533-position model. The record is from RNAcentral.